This 2469-nucleotide ribosomal RNA is filed under the name Triticum aestivum (bread wheat). RNAcentral's name for it is "partial small subunit ribosomal RNA". Lineage: Eukaryota; Viridiplantae; Streptophyta; Magnoliopsida; Poales; Poaceae. The record is from RNAcentral.
AUGGUUAGGAGUGUACCGAAUGGUGAGAAGCUCUUCAUAGGAGGAGACCUCAAUGGCCACGUGGGUACAUCUAACACAGGUUUUGAAGGGGCGCAUGGGGGCUUUGGCUAUGGCAUCAGGAAUCAAGAAGGAGAAGAUGUCUUAAGCUUUUCUCUAGCCUACAACAUGAUUGUAGCUAACACCCUCUUUAGAAAGAGAGAAUCACAUCUGGUGACUUUUAGUAGUGGCCAACACUCUAGCCAGAUUGAUUUCAUCCUCUCGAGAAGAGAAGAUAGGCGUGCGUGCCUAGACUGUAAGGUGAUACCUGGGGAGAGUGUUGUACCCCAGCAUAAGCUGGUGGUUGCUGACUUCCGCUUUUGGAUUCGUGUCCAGCGGGAUAAGCGUGCCAAGGUCGCUAGAACGAAGUGGUGGAAGCUCAAGGGGGAGGUAGCUCAGGUGUUCAAGGAGAGGGUAUUUAAGGAGGGCCCUUGGGAGGAAGGAGGGGAUGCGGACAAGGUGUGGAUGAAGAUGGCGACUUGCAUUCGUAAGGUGGCCUCGGAGGAGUUUGGAGUGUCCAGGGGAAGGAGAAGCGAAGAUAACGAUACCUGGUGGUGGAAUGAUGAUGUCCAGAAGGCGCUUAAAGAGAAGAAAGAUUGCUUCAGACGCCUAUACCUGGAUAGGAGUGCAGACAACAUAGAGAAGUACAAGAUGGCGAAGAAGGCCGCAAAGCGAGCUGUUGGUGAAGCAAGGGGUCGGGCAUAUGAGGACCUCUACCAACGGUUAGGCACGAAGGAAGGUGAAAGGGACAUAUAUAAGAUGGCUAAGAUCCGGGAGAGGAAGACGAGGGAUAUUGGCCAAGUCAAAUGCAUCAAGGACGGAGCAGGCCAACUCUUGGUGAAGGACGAAGAGAUUAAGCAUAGAUGGCGGGAGUACUUCGACAAGCUGUUCAAUGGGGAGAAUGAGAGUUCUACCCUUGAACUGAAUGACUCCUUUGAUGAGACCAGCAUGCGUUUUGUGCGGCGCAUCCAGGAGUCUGAGGUGAAGGAGGCUUUAAAAAGGAUGAAAGGAGGCAAGGCGAUGGGCCCUGAUUGUAUCCCCAUUGAGGUGUGGAAAGGUCUCGGGGACGUAGCGAUAGUAUGGCUAACCAAGCUUUUCAACCUCAUUUUUCGGGCAAACAAGAUGCCAGAAGAAUGGAGACGGAGUAUAUUAGUACCAAUCUUCAAGAACAAGGGGGAUGUUCAGAGUUGUACUAAUUACCGUGGAAUUAAGCUGAUGAGCCAUACAAUGAAGCUAUGGGAGAAAGUCAUUGAGCACCGCUUAAGAAGAAUGACAAGCGUGACCAAAAAUCAGUUUGGUUUCAUGCCUGGGAGGUCGACCAUGGAAGCCAUUUUCUUGGUACGACAACUUAUGGAGAGAUAUAGGGAGCAUAAGAAGGACUUGCAUAUGGUGUUCAUUGACUUGGAGAAGGCCUAUGAUAAGAUACCGCGGAAUGUCAUGUGGUGGGCCUUGGAGAAACACAAAGUCCUAGCAAAGUACAUUACCCUCAUCAAGGACAUGUACAAUAAUGUUGUGACAAGUGUUCGAACAAGUGAUGUCGACACCGAUGACUUCCCGAUUAAGAUAGGACUGCAUCAGGGGUCAGCUUUGAGCCCUUAUCUUUUUGCAUUGGUGAUGGAUGAGGUCACAAGGGGUAUACAAGGAGAUAUCCCAUGGUAUAUGCUCUUUGCGGAUGAUGUGGUGCUAGUUGAUGAUAGUCGGAUGGGGGUAAAUAGGAAGUUAGAGUUAUGGAGACAAACCUUGGAAUCGAAAGGGUUUAGGCUUAGUAGAACUAAAACCGAGUACAUGAUGUGCGGUUUCAGUACUACUAGCUGUGAGGAGGAGGAGGUUAGCCUUGAUGGCCAGGUGGUACCUCGGAAGGACACCUUUCGGUAUUUGGGGUCAAUGUUGCAGGAGGAUGGGGGUAUUGAUGAAGAUGUGAACCAUCGAAUCAAAGCCGGAUGGAUGAAGUGGCGCCAAGCUUCUGGCAUUCUCUGUGACAAGAGAGUGCCACAAAAGCUAAAAGGCAAGUUCUACAGGACGGCGAUUCGACCCGCAAUGUUGUAUGGCGCGGAGUGUUGGCCGACUAAAAGGCGACAUGUUCAACAGUUAGGUGUGGCGGAGAUGCGUAUGUUGAGAUGGAUGUGUGGCCACACGAGGAAGGAUCGAGUCCGAAAUGAUGAUAUACGAGAUAGAGUUGGGGUAGCACCAAUUGAGGAGAAGCUUGUCCAACAUCGUUUGAGAUGGUUUGGGCAUAUUCAGCGCAGGCCUUCAGAAGCUCCAGUGCAUAGCGGACGGCUAAAGCGUGCGGAGAAUGUCAAGAGAGGGCGGGGUCGACCGAUUUUGACAUGGGAGGAGUCCGUUAAGAGAGACCUGAAGGAUUGGAGUAUCGACAAAGAGCUAGCUAUGGACAGGGGUGCGUGGAAGCUUGCUAUCCAUGUGCCAGAGCCAUGA